UGGGUCCAACCUCCCACCCGUGUUUAUUUUACCUUGUUGCUUCGGCGGGCCCGCCUUAACUGGCCGCCGGGGGGCUUACGCCCCCGGGCCCGCGCCCGCCGAAGACACCCUCGAACUCUGUCUGAAGAUUGAAGUCUGAGUGAAAAUAUAAAUUAUUUAAAACUUUCAACAACGGAUCUCUUGGUUCCGGCAUCGAUGAAGAACGCAGCGAAAUGCGAUACGUAAUGUGAAUUGCAAAUUCAGUGAAUCAUCGAGUCUUUGAACGCACAUUGCGCCCCCUGGUAUUCCGGGGGGCAUGCCUGUCCGAGCGUCAUUGCUGCCCUCAAGCCCGGCUUGUGUGUUGGGCCCCGUCCCCCGAUCUCCGGGGGACGGGCCCGAAAGGCAGCGGCGGCACCGCGUCCGGUCCUCGAGCGUAUGGGGCUUUGUCACCCGCUCUGUAGGCCCGGCCGGCGCUUGCCGAUCAACCCAAAUUUUUAUCCAGGUUGACCUCGGAUCAGGUAGGGAUACCCGCUGAACUUAAGCAUAUCAAUAAGACGGAGGAA
Molecule: ribosomal RNA, 542 nt
Filed under: Penicillium crustosum
Lineage: Eukaryota; Fungi; Ascomycota; Eurotiomycetes; Eurotiales; Aspergillaceae
Description: eukaryotic LSU rRNA
Rfam family: 5.8S ribosomal RNA (bases 161-313)
Source: RNAcentral